GCUUCAAUGGCGCAGCUGGUAGCGCACAUCACUCGUAAUGAUGGGGUCGCCGGUUCGAAUCCGGCUUGGAGCU
This 73-nucleotide transfer RNA is filed under the name Eubacteriales bacterium. RNAcentral's name for it is "tRNA-Thr". It matches the Rfam family "tRNA". Rfam says of the family: Transfer RNA (tRNA) molecules are approximately 80 nucleotides in length. Lineage: Bacteria; Bacillati; Bacillota; Clostridia; Eubacteriales. The record is from RNAcentral.